RNAcentral lists this unclassified non-coding RNA (375 nucleotides) under soil metagenome. Its description in RNAcentral is "partial contains 5.8S ribosomal RNA, internal transcribed spacer 2, and large subunit ribosomal RNA". The stretch from base 1 to 120 matches the Rfam family "5.8S ribosomal RNA", at positions 35 to 154 of the family's 154-position model. The record is from RNAcentral.
GAUGAAGAACGCAGCGAAAUGCGAUAAGUAAUGUGAAUUGCAGAAUUCAGUGAAUCAUCGAAUCUUUGAACGCACAUUGCGCCCGCCAGUAUUCUGGCGGGCAUGCCUGUUCGAGCGUCAUUUCAACCCUCAAGACCCCUUCGUGGGACUUGGUGUUGGGGACCGGCACAGGGGCCUGCCUGCUUGUCUUGCAGCGCCCUCGCCGCCCCCGAAAUGAAUUGGCGGCCUCGUCGCGGCCUCCCCUGCGUAGUAGCACAACCUCGCAACGGGAACGUGACGGCGGCCACUGCCGUAAAACAACCCCAAUUUUAUUAGAGUUGACCUCGAAUCAGGUAGGAAUACCCGCUGAACUUAAGCAUAUCAAUAAGCGGAGGA